UCAGUAGCUCAGUGGUAGAGCGGUCGGCUGUUAACCGAUUGGUCGUAGGUUCAAGUCCUACCUGAGGAG
RNAcentral lists this transfer RNA (69 nucleotides) under Sphaerocarpos texanus. RNAcentral describes it as "tRNA-Asn". It matches the Rfam family "tRNA". Rfam says of the family: Transfer RNA (tRNA) molecules are approximately 80 nucleotides in length. Their secondary structure includes four short double-helical elements and three loops (D, anti-codon, and T loops). Further hydrogen bonds mediate the characteristic L-shaped molecular structure. tRNAs have two regions of fundamental functional importance: the anti-codon, which is responsible for specific mRNA codon recognition, and the 3' end, to which the tRNAs corresponding amino acid is attached (by aminoacyl-tRNA synthetases). tRNAs cope with the degeneracy of the genetic code in two manners: having more than one tRNA (with a specific anti-codon) for a particular amino acid; and 'wobble' base-pairing, i.e. permitting non-standard base-pairing at the 3rd anti-codon position. RNAcentral also lists the same sequence under 2 other names. The record is from RNAcentral. Lineage: Eukaryota; Viridiplantae; Streptophyta; Marchantiopsida; Sphaerocarpales; Sphaerocarpaceae.